AGCAACUGUACCCCUGCAAAUAGUUCUAAAUGCAUUUGCAAAUGCAGAAGCCUUCAGAACCAUCCAACAAUUCAGACACCCUUUUUAUUUCUUCUCUGCGGGACGCCUCCAUCCAGACUAUUCGCAAAAAACCGGAAAAGUGAAGAUCCUGGUGUUCGUCACCUGACUGUUCUCAUCUUUCCAAGACUCCAGUGCUUCGGGAGCUCUUCCCUACUGAAGAGAAACAGACCUAGGGUAUCUCUUAGCUGCAUUACAAUUGGUAAGUUUGUACCAGCAAGUUUAAUAUCGUUUUCAAAACCGAAUAACUACAAAGAUGCUCUGAGUACUGACAGUCAUGCCAGGACAGGUACAACCUCUCAACAGUCAGAGGCAAAACUUAAUGGUUUAUAACUUUUUUCUGUCCUAACUAUGUUUAUUCUAUAGAGAUGAAAAUGGCAUUUCAGAUGAAAUUCUUUCAGACUGGCAGAGUGGCUCAAGUGGUAGAGCAUCUGCCUAGCAAGCAUGAGGCCCUGAGUUCAAACCCCAGUACCACCAAACAGCAACAACAACA
This 550-nucleotide long non-coding RNA is filed under the name Castor canadensis (American beaver). RNAcentral's name for it is "lncRNA (ENSCCNG00000028312.1)". The stretch from base 462 to 534 matches the Rfam family "tRNA". The record is from RNAcentral. Lineage: Eukaryota; Metazoa; Chordata; Mammalia; Rodentia; Castoridae.